RNAcentral lists this ribosomal RNA (479 nucleotides) under uncultured Acidovorax sp. RNAcentral describes it as "bacterial SSU rRNA". It matches the Rfam family "Bacterial small subunit ribosomal RNA", at positions 901 to 1382 of the family's 1533-position model. Lineage: Bacteria; Pseudomonadati; Pseudomonadota; Betaproteobacteria; Burkholderiales; Comamonadaceae. The record is from RNAcentral.
UUAAAGGAAUUGACGGGGCCGCGACAAGCGGUGGAGCAUGUGGUUAAUUCGACGCAACGCGAAGAACCUUACUGGGCUUGACAUCCCGAUCGUACCUGCUGGAACAGCGGGGUCAGUUCGGCUGGAUCGGAGACAGGCGCUGCAUGGCUGUCGUCAGCUCGUGUCGUGAGAUGUUGGGUUAAGUCCCGCAACGAGCGCAACCCUUGUCCUUAGUUGCUACAUUCAGUUGGGCACUCUAAUGAGACUGCCGGUGACAAACCGGAGGAAGGUGGGGAUGACGUCAAGUCCUCAUGGCCCUUAUAGGUGGGGCUACACACGUCAUACAAUGGAUGGUACAAAGGGUCGCCAACCCGCGAGGGGGGAGCCAAUCCCAUAAAGCCAUUCGUAGUCCGGAUCGCAGUCUGCAACUCGACUGCGUGAAGUCGGAAUCGCUAGUAAUCGUGGAUCAGAAUGUCACGGUGAAUACGUUCCCGGGUCUU